CGAGCACAAGCAGGUCCUGCAGCAGGUGUGAGGGGUUUGUCACUCUCACCACCCAGCUGUGGGGGAAUCUGCCGUUAAGAAACUGGAAAGGAACAUUACAGCACUGCUCAAAAGCCAGGUGGAUUUACAGGCAGCUGAAAGUUCUACAGGACCAACACUACUUUGGAUGACACCCGUGGAGAACUGGAAAAAGUGCAGGAAAUGUAGUUGAAAAAAUAUAAUAAAAAUUAAAAUAUCAAGGUCCUUUAA
Molecule: long non-coding RNA, 249 nt
Organism: Passer domesticus (house sparrow)
Lineage: Eukaryota; Metazoa; Chordata; Aves; Passeriformes; Passeridae
Exons: 2
Source: RefSeq, a predicted model, not a curated record